This 522-nucleotide ribosomal RNA is filed under the name uncultured bacterium. Its description in RNAcentral is "bacterial SSU rRNA". It matches the Rfam family "Bacterial small subunit ribosomal RNA", at positions 777 to 1297 of the family's 1533-position model. The record is from RNAcentral.
AAUAGAUACCCGGGUAGUCCAUGCCGUAAACGAUGUCUACUAGCCGUUGGGGCCUUUGAGGCUUUAGUGGCGCAGCUAACGCGAUAAGUAGACCGCCUGGGGAGUACGGUCGCAAGACUAAAACUCAAAUGAAUUGACGGGGGCCCGCACAAGCGGUGGAGCAUGUGGUUUAAUUCGAUGCAACGCGAAGAACCUUACCUGGCCUUGACAUAGUAAGAACUUUCCAGAGAUGGAUUGGUGCCUUCGGGAACUUACAUACAGGUGCUGCAUGGCUGUCGUCAGCUCGUGUCGUGAGAUGUUGGGUUAAGUCCCGCAACGAGCGCAACCCUUUUCCUUAUUUGCCAGCGAGUAAUGUCGGGAACUUUAAGGAUACUGCCAGUGACAAACUGGAGGAAGGCGGGGACGACGUCAAGGUCAUCAUGGCCCUUACGGCCAGGGCUACACACGUGCUACAAUGGUCGGUACAAAGGGUUGCUACACAGCGAUGUGAUGCUAAUCUCAAAAAGCCGAUCGUAGUCCGGA